Molecule: ribosomal RNA, 392 nt
Filed under: uncultured ammonia-oxidizing bacterium
Lineage: Bacteria
Description: bacterial SSU rRNA
Rfam family: Bacterial small subunit ribosomal RNA
Source: RNAcentral
GGAGUGGCCGAUGCCUGAUUAGCUAGUUGGUGGGGUAAGGGCCUACCAAGGCGACGAUCAGUAGUUGGUCUGAGAGGACGACCAGCCACACUGGGACUGAGACACGGCCCAGACUCCUACGGGAGGCAGCAGUGGGGAAUUUUGGACAAUGGGCGAAAGCCUGAUCCAGCAAUGCCGCGUGAGUGAAGAAGGCCUUCGGGUUGUAAAGCUCUUUCAGUCGAGAAGAAAAGGUUGUGACUAAUAAUCACAACUUAUGACGGUAUCGACAGAAGAAGCACCGGCUAACUACGUGCCAGCAGCCGCGGUAAUACGUAGGGUGCGAGCGUUAAUCGGAAUUACUGGGCGUAAAGGGUGCGCAGGCGGCUUUGUAAGUCAGAUGUGAAAUCCCCGGG